Molecule: small RNA, 303 nt
Filed under: Salvator merianae (Argentine black and white tegu)
Lineage: Eukaryota; Metazoa; Chordata; Lepidosauria; Squamata; Teiidae
Description: 7SK RNA (ENSSMRG00000017373.1)
Rfam family: 7SK RNA (bases 13-191)
About the family: 7SK was discovered as an abundant small nuclear RNA in the mid-70s but a possible function has only recently been suggested. Two independent studies have found that 7SK RNA binds the CDK9/cyclin T complex (known as elongation factor P-TEFb). P-TEFb activates transcription by phosphorylating the C-terminal domain of RNA polymerase II.
Source: RNAcentral
GGAACUACUUUCAGCCAGAUCUGGCUGCAAUAUCUGACAUUGCAUUGGUUGCCAGGAUUGAUCAGCUGAUCUGGCUAGCUAGGCAGGUGCCCUCCCUACUCACUGUUCCAUGUAUGUCCCUCCUGAAUCUAUAUACUCGGUGGAAGAAAAUGACCAUUCCAGAUAUGCGGAGGGAACUGUUGUUCUCUGAAAGACAGGACAAACUGGAUUUUCCCCAGUGCAGUGGUUCCAUAAUCUGGGUGCUGAUGGAUUUGGGCAGCAUGUUAUGCAGAAGGCACAAUUAAAAAAAAAAAAAGGAUAUUU